GACGAACGCUGGCGGCGUGCUUAACACAUGCAAGUCGAACGGAAAGGCCCUGCUUUUGUGGGGUGCUCGAGUGGCGAACGGGUGAGUAACACGUGAGUAACCUGCCCUUGACUUUGGGAUAACUUCAGGAAACUGGGGCUAAUACCGGAUAGGAGCUCCUGCUGCAUGGUGGGGGUUGGAAAGUUUCGGCGGUUGGGGAUGGACUCGCGGCUUAUCAGCUUGUUGGUGGGGUAGUGGCUUACCAAGGCUUUGACGGGUAGCCGGCCUGAGAGGGUGACCGGCCACAGUGGGACUGAGAUACGGCCCUGACUCCUACGGGAGGCAGCAGUGGGGAAUAUUGCACAAUGGGAGGAAGCCUGAUGCAGCAACGCCGCGUGCGGGAUGACGGCCUUCGGGUUGUAAACCGCUUUCGCCUGUGACGAAGCGUGAGUGACGGUAAUGGGUACAGAAGGACCGGCCAACUACGUG
Molecule: ribosomal RNA, 468 nt
Filed under: uncultured bacterium
Lineage: Bacteria
Description: partial 16S ribosomal RNA
Rfam family: Bacterial small subunit ribosomal RNA
Source: RNAcentral